RNAcentral lists this ribosomal RNA (416 nucleotides) under uncultured bacterium. RNAcentral describes it as "bacterial SSU rRNA". It matches the Rfam family "Bacterial small subunit ribosomal RNA", at positions 99 to 507 of the family's 1533-position model. The record is from RNAcentral.
CAAACGGGUGAGGAAUACAUGGGUAACCUACCCUUGAGAAGGGAAUAACCCGCCGAAAGGUGAGCUAAUACCCUAUACGCUAUUCUUUUUUCGAAAAGGAUAGGAAAGCCGGGUCGAGGACCUGGUACUCAAGGGAGGGGCUCAUGUCCUAUCAGCUUGUUGGUGGGGUAACGGCCUACCAAGGCUACGACGGGUAGCUGGUCUGAGAGGAUGAUCAGCCACACUGGCACUGAGAUACCGGGCCAGACUCCUACGGGGAGGCAGCAGUGAGGAAUAUUGCGCAAUGGGCGAAAGCCUGACGCAGCGACGCCGCGUGGGGAUGAAGGUUUUCGGAUUGUAAACCCCUUUCACGAGGAAAGAUAAAGUGGGUAACCACUUAGACGGUACCUCAAGGAGAAGCCACGGCUAACUUCGUG